Physcomitrium patens is the source of this 2427-nucleotide non-coding RNA. Lineage: Eukaryota; Viridiplantae; Streptophyta; Bryopsida; Funariales; Funariaceae. The record is from RefSeq and is a predicted model, not a curated record.
GCAUGACGGUGGGAUAGUUUUCCAUGAUUUUCUUCUCAGCGAAGUGUUUCCAAGUUGAUCUGACGUCGAGUGGUCCUGCAAUCCCACGAGUCUUUGUGGGUUUUAAGGGUUCAGAUUUGAAGCUUAACCACACAUUUUCAGUGAAUCCAAUGCCAGUAAAUCACUUGUCAAUAAUCAGUAGGAAAAGCAGGCUCGAAUCCACUUUUUGUUACCGUCUGAGUGAUGCAGAUUAUGUGAUUGCAUUGGAGAGCCAGUAUACUGAUUGCGGUAGCUUACCGGUGGAGCAGUUGUUGCACAAUCUACACAGUGAAAUAAUCCAUGGGGAGGAGGCAGUAGUGAUGGUGUUCAAGCGCAUUUGUAUUUGUGGGUUUUGCAGAAUUGUCAUCAAUGGAGAAAGCUGGAGGGUGGACAUGCGACAGAAUGGUUUGCUUCGUGCUUGAAUCCGUUGCAGCAACGCAUGAAGUUGUCGAAAACUCUCGAGACUCUGCAGAAUUCAUUCCUCUUGAUACUGCUGCAUCUUUGGGUCAGGCGGCCUGUUGGUUGAAGGCGUAGAGGUUGCAGUCUAGGUUCGUAUUCCUCGUUUGCUGUGCUUGCUGGCGCAAGGAAAGAUGGAAUCUCAAGCAUGUGACGAUUCACUAAUUCAGAUCUGCAAUGAAAGUUUCAAAACGGGAACAAUUGAGUGGAUAUAAGCGAGAAGAAGAAUUUCUCCUGGUUUCGGGCUGGGUUUUCUUAUUUCUGUGUUGCUCCUGCAUCUCCUUCCAACUACUGAUAUGGAUUGAGUGGCAAUCGGACGCCUAGAGCAUCCGGAUAAGUGACCAGAUUUGCAACAAAUGUCCGACACCGCUCAAGGGGUCUCUGGUGAAAUCUUGAGUUUGCUGUCGCUUUCAAGGUGUGCUUGAAAUUUAUUUAUGUUCCUGAGCCAACUUUUGCAGUUCCAGAACCAAUUCUAGUUGCUCUUUCCUGCUGGAGCCCAUCAAGUCCCCCGUAAAUAUAAUGUUGAUGCAUUUGAAACAUGCAUGCCUAAUAUUCAGAAGCAGUCAGGAUAAGUUGAAGAGGUAUACGUCAUACCUCUGAAGUAUACACAUGCUUCUUUCUUGACUGUAACUGUUCUCUGUUCUAUACCUUGAGUCAAGUCACCUUCUCGUAUGCCUUGCAUCAGGUAAUUUGGGGAGGUUGACUGUUGUACGUGAUUGUACAGGACGUCUUUUUUUUAUAUGUAAAUAUAAAAUCAAAAAUUAAGAAUCCCUGAUAACAUUUUAUUUUAGUUCACCAGCUUCAACACUCUAUGUUGCCCUGUUCCGAGGUUUGGGUUAACUUUGCGGGUAUGCCUCGUAGUGAUUUCGUAGGGAAAAUUCAAGUCAAUCACAGCUCCUUGUUCACACAAGCAAGAUGAUCGUGAAACAUUUACCAACCUUUUUAUAUAUCAUUUAAAAAUGAAGUGUUGACAGGUGAACGCAGCGUUUAAAAUCUCGCAGCGAAGGUUUCGAUGAUUCCCGAAUUGCUUUUACAACUCUUUGUGUAUUAAUAUUGCACGAAAAGAAGUUUCUGUUGUUCAACUUGGAAAACAGAAGAUACUGCGGAGACCGCUCAGCUGAUGGUCCAGCUAGAGUUAUAAUGAGUUGUGGCACUGAUUGUGACUAUGGACGAUAUCGAGAUGUUGGCGAAGGUAAAAAUUUAACGAUGCGUCUUCAUCAGUCACGGGUUCAAGUAAUGAGAUCACUCUAUCCAAAACGAGACGAAGACGCACAAAAAUAGAUAACAUUGUAAUAGAGGACACUAUUUCCAAGAUCAGAAGGAAGUUGUUGAAAAGGAAAGGUUGGAAGAGUUUGAGGCACUGAUUGUCAUGGCAGUCACUGUUACUGCUGCAUCUGCCAAGGCAGGGGCCGCUAGUCCAACUACAGAUGAGAAAGAAGAGAACGACAUGAAGUGACUUUGUUGGUCACAACGACAGGAAAGCCCCGAGAACAAUGGUGAAAAACCGAAAUUAUUUGAAAUGAGGGCAAUUGAUAGAACUGACAAUUUUCUGUUGUCCUGGUAGAUGGACCCUCGAAUACACUGGGCACAAGUGUAUUGAGAUGGCGAGGGCAGCGCUGGUGGGUGAGCAAGUAGCUAGACCAACAGCGAAGCUUCAGCUUAUGACAUUGUGUUGUAGUGGGGAUUAUCUGACGUGAAGAAGUUACCUGCAUUUACAGAAUUGUAGUAUACAGUCCUGUCUACAGGUACGGGAAGUCCAUCCACAGCAAACACUCACACACACCACACCCUAACAAUAAUUUUAAUUACAAUUUCAGAUCAGCUGUAAGCUGGGUGUCGGUUCGUUGGACAGUACGAAAGCAACUUUCGGACCUUCAGAAUUGCCUCCACCUUGAAUGCCAUCACAAUCGAUCUUGGGAACAGAAUUGGAAUGCAUCAACACCAUAUUUUUUA